RNAcentral lists this ribosomal RNA (329 nucleotides) under uncultured eukaryote. RNAcentral's name for it is "partial 18S ribosomal RNA". It matches the Rfam family "Eukaryotic small subunit ribosomal RNA", at positions 1470 to 1796 of the family's 1831-position model. The record is from RNAcentral.
CCCUUAGAUGUUCUGGGCUGCACGCGCGCUACACUGAAGUGUUCAACGAGUAUUCACCUUGCCCGGGAGGGUUGGGUAAUCUUUUGAAAACGCUUCGUGAUGGGGAUAGAUUAUUGCAAUUAUUAAUCUUCAACGAGGAAUUCCUAGUAAGCGCAAGUCAUCAGCUUGCAUUGAUUACGUCCCUGCCCUUUGUACACACCGCCCGUCGCUCCUACCGAUUGAAUGUUCCGAUGAAUACCAUGGACUGAGAGUAUGAAUGGGUUCGCCUAUUUCUGCUUCUCGGGAAGUGGAGUAAAUCUUAACAUUUAGAGGAAGGAGAAGUCGUAACA